ACAGAAAAUGGAACUUUCUCUCGUUGGCCUUCAGAAUGCAGGAAAGACAUCUCUUGUUAAUGCCAUUGCUACAGGGGGUUACAGUGAGGACAUGAUUCCAACUGUUGGAUUCAAUAUGCGAAAAGUUACUAAGGGAAAUGUGACAAUCAAGCUUUGGGACCUUGGAGGGCAGAGG
Molecule: long non-coding RNA, 175 nt
Organism: Juglans regia (Persian walnut)
Lineage: Eukaryota; Viridiplantae; Streptophyta; Magnoliopsida; Fagales; Juglandaceae
Exons: 3
Source: RefSeq, a predicted model, not a curated record